RNAcentral lists this ribosomal RNA (434 nucleotides) under uncultured bacterium. RNAcentral's name for it is "partial 16S ribosomal RNA". It matches the Rfam family "Bacterial small subunit ribosomal RNA", at positions 29 to 507 of the family's 1533-position model. The record is from RNAcentral.
AGCGAACGCUGGCGGCAGGCCUAACACAUGCAAGUCGAACGAACCUUUCGGGGUUAGUGGCGGACGGGUGAGUAACACGUGGGAACGUGCCUUUAGGUUCGGAAUAACUCAGGGAAACUUGUGCUAAUACAGAAUGUGCCCUUCGGGGGAAAGAUUUAUCGCCGUUAGAGCGGCCCGCGUCUGAUUAGCUAGUUGGUUGAGGUAAUGGCUCACCAAGGCGACGAUCAGUAGCUGGUCUGAGAGGAUGAUCAGCCACAUUGGGACUGAGACACGGCCCAAACGCCUACGGGAGGCAGCAGUGGGGAAUCUUGCGCAAUGGGCGAAAGCCUGACGCAGCCAUGCCGCGUGAAUGAUGAAGGUCUUAGGAUUGUAAAAUUCUUUCACCGGGGACGAUAAUGACGGUACCCGGAGAAGAAGCCCCGGCUAACUUCGUG